GGAAUGUACGCUGGCGGCGUGCCUAAUACAUGCAAGUCGAGCGAACAGAUAAGGAGCUUGCUCCUUUGACGUUAGCGGCGGACGGGUGAGUAACACGUGGAUAACCUACCUAUAAGACUGGGAUAACUUCGGGAAACCGGAGCUAAUACCGGAUAACAUAUUGAACCGCAUGGUUCAAUAGUGAAAGGCGGCUUUGCUGUCACUUAUAGAUGGAUCCGCGCCGUAUUAGCUAGUUGGUAAGGUAACGGCUUACCAAGGCAACGAUACGUAGCCGACCUGAGAGGGUGAUCGGCCACACUGGAACUGAGACACGGUCCAGACUCCUACGGGAGGCAGCAGUAGGGAAUCUUCCGCAAUGGGCGAAAGCCUGACGGAGCAACGCCGCGUGAGUGAUGAAGGUCUUCGGAUCGUAAAACUCUGUUAUCAGGGAAGAACAAAUGUGUAAGUAACUGUGCACAUCUUGACGGUACCUGAUCAGAAAGCCACGGCUAACUACGUGCCAGCAGCCGCGGUAAUACGUAGGUGGCAAGCGUUAUCCGGAAUUAUUGGGCGUAAAGCGCGCGUA
This 565-nucleotide ribosomal RNA is filed under the name Staphylococcus sp. 40RA2. RNAcentral describes it as "bacterial SSU rRNA". It matches the Rfam family "Bacterial small subunit ribosomal RNA", at positions 26 to 573 of the family's 1533-position model. Lineage: Bacteria; Bacillati; Bacillota; Bacilli; Caryophanales; Staphylococcaceae. The record is from RNAcentral.